RNAcentral lists this ribosomal RNA (253 nucleotides) under uncultured bacterium. RNAcentral's name for it is "partial 16S ribosomal RNA". It matches the Rfam family "Bacterial small subunit ribosomal RNA", at positions 524 to 776 of the family's 1533-position model. The record is from RNAcentral.
UACGUAGGUGACCAGCGUUGUCCGGAUUUACUGGGCGUAAAGAGCGCGCAGGCGGUCGUUCAAGUCGAGUGUGAAAGCCCCCGGCUCAACUGGGGAGGGUCAUUCGAAACUGGUCGACUCGAAGGCAGGAGAGGGUAGUGGAAUUCCCGGUGUAGUGGUGAAAUGCGUAGAUAUCGGGAGGAACACCAGUGGCGAAGGCGGCGUUCUGGACUGCAACUGACACUGAGGAACGAAAGCCAGGGGAGCAAACGGG